GGAGAUAUGACUCAGUGGUAAAGUGUCUGCCUAGCACACAGAAGGCCUGGGUUUGAUUCCCAGCACCA
RNAcentral lists this transfer RNA (68 nucleotides) under Cavia porcellus (domestic guinea pig). It matches the Rfam family "tRNA". Rfam says of the family: Transfer RNA (tRNA) molecules are approximately 80 nucleotides in length. Their secondary structure includes four short double-helical elements and three loops (D, anti-codon, and T loops). The record is from Rfam by way of RNAcentral. Lineage: Eukaryota; Metazoa; Chordata; Mammalia; Rodentia; Caviidae.